GGGCAGGUGGCGAAACCGGCAACCGCGGGGGCCUUAAAAGCCCCUGUCCGCACGGGCUUGUGGGUUCGAAUCCCACCCUGCCCACCA
This 87-nucleotide transfer RNA is filed under the name Pseudomonadota bacterium. RNAcentral describes it as "tRNA-Leu". It matches the Rfam family "tRNA". Rfam says of the family: Transfer RNA (tRNA) molecules are approximately 80 nucleotides in length. Their secondary structure includes four short double-helical elements and three loops (D, anti-codon, and T loops). Further hydrogen bonds mediate the characteristic L-shaped molecular structure. tRNAs have two regions of fundamental functional importance: the anti-codon, which is responsible for specific mRNA codon recognition, and the 3' end, to which the tRNAs corresponding amino acid is attached (by aminoacyl-tRNA synthetases). tRNAs cope with the degeneracy of the genetic code in two manners: having more than one tRNA (with a specific anti-codon) for a particular amino acid; and 'wobble' base-pairing, i.e. permitting non-standard base-pairing at the 3rd anti-codon position. RNAcentral also lists the same sequence under 1 other name. Lineage: Bacteria; Pseudomonadati; Pseudomonadota. The record is from RNAcentral.